AGCGUACACGGUGGAUGCCCUGGCAGUCAGAGGCGAUGAAGGGCGUGCUAAUCUGCGAUAAGCGCCGGUAAGGUGAUAUGAACCGUUAUAACCGGCGAUACCCGAAUGGGGAAACCCAGUGUGACUCGUCACACUAUCAUUAACUGAAUCCAUAGGUUAAUGAGGCGAACCGGGGGAACUGAAACAUCUAAGUACCCCGAGGAAAAGAAAUCAACCGAGAUUCCCCCAGUAGCGGCGAGCGAACGGGGAGGAGCCCAGAGCCUGAAUCAGCAUGUGUGUUAGUGGAAGCGUCUGGAAAGGCGCGCGAUACAGGGUGACAGCCCCGUACACAAAAGCGCAUGUGCUGUGAGCUCGAUGAGUAGGGCGGGACACGUGGUAUCCUGUCUGAAUAUGGGGGGACCAUCCUCCAAGGCUAAAUACUCCUGACUGACCGAUAGUGAACCAGUACCGUGAGGGAAAGGCGAAAAGAACCCCGGCGAGGGGAGUGAAAAAGAACCUGAAACCGUGUACGUACAAGCAGUGGGAGCACAGGUUUACCUGUGUGACUGCGUACCUUUUGUAUAAUGGGUCAGCGACUUAUAUUCUGUAGCAAGGUUAACCGAAUAGGGGAGCCGGAGGGAAACCGAGUCUUAAUUGGGCGUUAAGUUGCAGGGUAUAGACCCGAAACCCGGUGAUCUAGCCAUGGGCAGGUUGAAGGUUGGGUAACACUAACUGGAGGACCGAACCGACUAAUGUUGAAAAAUUAGCGGAUGACCUGUGGCUGGGGGUGAAAGGCCAAUCAAACCGGGAGAUAGCUGGUUCUCCCCGAAAGCUAUUUAGGUAGCGCCUCGUGAAUUCAUCUCCGGGGGUAGAGCACUGUUUCGGCUAGGGGGCCAUCCCGGCUUACCAACCCGAUGCAAACUGCGAAUACCGGAGAAUGUUAUCACGGGAGACACACGGCGGGUGCUAACGUCCGUCGUGAAGAGGGAAACAACCCAGACCGCCAGCUAAGGUCCCAAAGUCAUGGUUAAGUGGGAAACGAUGUGGGAAGGCCCAGACAGCCAGGAUGUUGGCUUAGAAGCAGCCAUCAUUUAAAGAAAGCGUAAUAGCUCACUGGUCGAGUCGGCCUGCGCGGAAGAUGUAACGGGGCUAAACCAUGCACCGAAGCUGCGGCAGCGACACUGUGUGUUGUUGGGUAGGGGAGCGUUCUGUAAGCCUGUGAAGGUGUGUCGUGAGGCAUGCUGGAGGUAUCAGAAGUGCGAAUGCUGACAUAAGUAACGAUAAAGCGGGUGAAAAGCCCGCUCGCCGGAAGACCAAGGGUUCCUGUCCAACGUUAAUCGGGGCAGGGUGAGUCGACCCCUAAGGCGAGGCCGAAAGGCGUAGUCGAUGGGAAACGGGUUAAUAUUCCCGUACUUGGUGUUACUGCGAAGGGGGGACGGAGAAGGCUAUGUUGGCCGGGCGACGGUUGUCCCGGUUUAAGCGUGUAGGUGUGUGUUCCAGGUAAAUCCGGUUCACUUUAACACUGAGGCGUGACGACGAGGCACUACGGUGCUGAAGCAACAAAUGCCCUGCUUCCAGGAAAAGCCUCUAAGCAUCAGGUAACAUCAAAUCGUACCCCAAACCGACACAGGUGGUCAGGUAGAGAAUACCAAGGCGCUUGAGAGAACUCGGGUGAAGGAACUAGGCAAAAUGGUGCCGUAACUUCGGGAGAAGGCACGCUGACACGUAGGUGAAGUGAUUUACUCAUGGAGCUGAAGUCAGUCGAAGAUACCAGCUGGCUGCAACUGUUUAUUAAAAACACAGCACUGUGCAAACACGAAAGUGGACGUAUACGGUGUGACGCCUGCCCGGUGCCGGAAGGUUAAUUGAUGGGGUCAGCGCAAGCGAAGCUCCUGAUCGAAGCCCCGGUAAACGGCGGCCGUAACUAUAACGGUCCUAAGGUAGCGAAAUUCCUUGUCGGGUAAGUUCCGACCUGCACGAAUGGCGUAAUGAUGGCCAGGCUGUCUCCACCCGAGACUCAGUGAAAUUGAACUCGCUGUGAAGAUGCAGUGUACCCGCGGCAAGACGGAAAGACCCCGUGAACCUUUACUAUAGCUUGACACUGAACAUUGAGCCUUGAUGUGUAGGAUAGGUGGGAGGCUUUGAAGUGUGGACGCCAGUCUGCAUGGAGCCGACCUUGAAAUACCACCCUUUAAUGUUUGAUGUUCUAACGUGGACCCGUUACCCGGGUUGCGGACAGUGUCUGGUGGGUAGUUUGACUGGGGCGGUCUCCUCCUAAAGAGUAACGGAGGAGCACGAAGGUUGGCUAAUCCUGGUCGGACAUCAGGAGGUUAGUGCAAUGGCAUAAGCCAGCUUGACUGCGAGCGUGACGGCGCGAGCAGGUGCGAAAGCAGGUCAUAGUGAUCCGGUGGUUCUGAAUGGAAGGGCCAUCGCUCAACGGAUAAAAGGUACUCCGGGGAUAACAGGCUGAUACCGCCCAAGAGUUCAUAUCGACGGCGGUGUUUGGCACCUCGAUGUCGGCUCAUCACAUCCUGGGGCUGAAGUAGGUCCCAAGGGUAUGGCUGUUCGCCAUUUAAAGUGGUACGCGAGCUGGGUUUAGAACGUCGUGAGACAGUUCGGUCCCUAUCUGCCGUGGGCGCUGGAGAACUGAGGGGGGCUGCUCCUAGUACGAGAGGACCGGAGUGGACGCAUCACUGGUGUUCGGGUUGUCAUGCCAAUGGCACUGCCCGGUAGCUAAAUGCGGAAGAGAUAAGUGCUGAAAGCAUCUAAGCACGAAACUUGCCCCGAG
Molecule: ribosomal RNA, 2767 nt
Filed under: Salmonella enterica subsp. enterica serovar Enteritidis
Lineage: Bacteria; Pseudomonadati; Pseudomonadota; Gammaproteobacteria; Enterobacterales; Enterobacteriaceae
Description: partial 23S ribosomal RNA
Rfam family: Bacterial large subunit ribosomal RNA
Source: RNAcentral